UCCGGUUUGUCACCGGCAGUCUCGUAUGAGUCCCCAACUAAAUGCUGGCGACAUACGACGAGGGUUGCGCUCGUUGCGGGACUUAACCCAACAUCUCACGACACGAGCUGACGACAGCCAUGCACCACCUGUGAUCCUGCCCCAAAGGGGAAGCCGUGUUUCCACGGCGGUCAGAAACAUGUCAAACCCAGGUAAGGUUCUUCGCGUUGCGUCGAAUUAAACCACAUGCUCCGCUGCUUGUGCGGGUCCCCGUCAAUUCCUUUGAGUUUUAAUCUUGCGACCGUACUCCCCAGGCGGAAUGCUUAAAGCGUUAGCUGCGCCACUGACAGGCAAGCCUGCCAACGGCUAGCAUUCAUCGUUUACGGCGUGGACUAC
RNAcentral lists this unclassified non-coding RNA (375 nucleotides) under uncultured bacterium. Its description in RNAcentral is "contains 16S-23S intergenic spacer region". The record is from RNAcentral.